CUCGAUUUCUUCUCUCAGGAAAAAUCAUGGUAUUACUUGAUUGUGUUCUUCAUGACCAGGAGAGUGAUCUUGUAGCUAAUUUUGUGUCAUUCUGGUCGCAAUGUAAAGAAAGCUUGGUGGUGCCCCCAAUGCAGCUGAAAUAUGUCAUGGUGUAACUAUGAUUGUUCUUGUAGUGGACUCCUGUAAAUGAAGGAUCAUGACACUUGAAUAACUAGGAGAGGUUUAUGAGGUGACUGGGGACCAGGACCGGGUAGCUGUUAUUAUGGAUAAUGGUGGCAUGACAGUAAAAAGGAGGAAAGAUGGACGAAAUGAGUGUUGAAGAAGCUGCGAAGUUCUCGAUUCGUUGGCUAGAUGGUACGUCAUGACCAGCAACAGAUGAGCAAAGUAA
Long non-coding RNA from Papaver somniferum (opium poppy), 388 nucleotides. RefSeq lists it as uncharacterized. The transcript has 3 exons. The record is from RefSeq and is a predicted model, not a curated record. Lineage: Eukaryota; Viridiplantae; Streptophyta; Magnoliopsida; Ranunculales; Papaveraceae.